RNAcentral lists this ribosomal RNA (117 nucleotides) under Clostridiaceae bacterium. Lineage: Bacteria; Bacillati; Bacillota; Clostridia; Eubacteriales; Clostridiaceae. The record is from RNAcentral.
UCCGGUGGAAAUAGCGAGAAGGCCACACCCGUUCCCAUCCCGAACACGGAAGUUAAGCUUCUCAGCGCCGAUGAUACUUGGACAGAAACGUCCCGGGAAAGUAGGUCUCCGCCGGAA